AGAAGGCACAUAAUUUAUUUUUUUUUAAAAAAAUCCUCAUGGCUCAAACAAUAAUCACACUAUGUUAAAUAGUAAUUACACAACAAAUGAGACUAAAAAAAAAUCCUCAUGGCUCAAACAAUAAUCACGCUAUGUUAAAUAUUAAUUACACAACAAAUGAAACUAAUUAAUUAAUUAACGAAUCAUAGAAGAUGUAGGAAUUGGUGGCACAGUUAACCCCUUCUCGUUUCCAUUUCUCAACAUUGCCUUUCCAUCCUGCAAUAUCAAUAGCUUAAUUAGUAUUGAAAAUAAUUUUUUCUUGACAAAUAUCACAAACACAACAGCAGCAAUUAAUCAACGCGUUCGAAUAUGAAGCCUCUGAUAAUUUAAAUAUUUCUCGUAAUUUUCUUUGAUAUCUUCUCCCAGAAAUCCAUCCACACUGAAUAGUACCCAUAGCAUAAGCAAGAAGACAAGUAUGUCCUUUAGCUGCCAUUUAUAAAAACAAGAAAAAUUAUUUACCCCCUUAAUAACUUUUAAGUGAAUUAAAUACACCCUCAAAAUCACAAUUUCAGUCUCACAACAGAGAGUGCACUACACACGCGUCAUAUCAUUAUCAUAUCAGUGCCAUGUCAUUGCCACGUAAAAAAUUAUAAUUUUUUUUUUUUAAAAUAACCCUACACAUAUACUAUUUUUAUAUAUUUUUUCUAAAAAGUAAAAAAUAUAUAUGUAUUGUUUUUAUAUAAAAAUAUAUAUAUAUAUAUAUAUAUAUAUACCCCCCUUUCCACCCCAAAAAAAAAACUCCUUCUACACCACCCCACCCCACCCCUGCUCUUUCUCCCCUUUCAGUACACGAAAAAUGUCCUCCCAACCCAAUUUCUUUCUUUUUCAAACACGAAAAUACCCCAACCAAGUCAAAAAUAUUUUUUUUCAUUUGUUUUACUACACAAAAAUUGUCUUAUAACAAAAAUAUUCAAAAGUAAAAAUCAAAAAAAUCUUAUUGAUGAUAAGUGGUUUAAAGAUAAAAUCAUUAAUUUAAUUUAAUUUUUGUUUAAAUUUUAAGAAAGUUGGAUUAAAGGUUGAGAUGAUGUUCAAUGGAGGAAAAAAAAUUAAUUUAUUAUCUUCGUGGUUGUUCUUUGGUGAUAUUAAUGGAGGAAAAUUAAAAAAAUCAAAAGAGAGUGUUGGUAAAGAAUGUAUUUGAGGUUAUUAAUGGAGGAAUUUGAGUGUUAUUGAUGUUUUGGAGAAAAAGAAGAUAAGUGUCUAUUUUUUCUUUUAAUUUCUAUUAUAUUUUGAAUAUAAUAUUACUGAAAUUAAUUUUUUUAACUAAUAAAUACGCUCUUUUUUACUUGAAAAUGCCACGUCAUCUUCAGGGGUGAAACUAAUACACUUUAAAGAUGUUAAAGAGGUAAAUAAAUAAAAGUUUAGUUUAAGUGAUAAAGUAAGUUGAACGGACAAGUUCAGGGGAAAAUCAUGUUUUCUCCUAAUGAAAUUUGCAUUUUAGUUAGCACAAAUGUAUAAUCAUUAGAAAGGCAGUUCCAUGUACUAAAUUUUUGUUAUGCGCGAGAUUCAGAAAACAUUUGAACCAUAAAAAUUUUAGAAUCAUAAUCACAUGGUAGCAACUUUAUCGAUUACCCCAAGACUCUCCUUUAAUAUUUAAUCAUUAUUAAGAAAAAACUAAGUAAUGCCUAAUAGUAGUGAUAUUAGUUAAAGUUUUGUUUGGAAUGUAGUUUAUUUGAUAAAUUGUGUUUAAUAAUAUCGUGUUGUUUGAUAUGAAGGAAAAUAUUUUUCAAAAGAAACUUUAUAUCGUUACUCAAGCUUCUUUAAAAUUUAGAAGCCACUACAAAUAGAUGGGGUAAAUGUAUCACUUACAGUACAAUUCGACAGAAUUCAAUAAUUUUAGCUCAAAUCUUAUAUUUAUCUUAUAAAAAAUUGGCUUCAAAUCUAAAAUCCACCUCCACUAAGGAAAAAUAUACGAAAGAUAGUAGUUUUUCUCCUUUUAAUGGAAAGUGGAAACCAGUUGUUUAUGUUGUCUAUUUUGUUGAGAAAUGAUUCGAAAAAUGCUUGACCAAGUCUUCAGGAGGUCGGUAGUUAAUUUCCUUUAUUCUAACAAGUUUUAAAUAGUAUUACAGAUUAGUAGGCAAUCAGUAAUUAGUGUGUUAGUGGACCUAGAUUUUAGUAUUUUUCAAUUUUAUUGUGUGUCUACUUAUAGGCAAGUCUCUUUACUUAAAUUAUGCAUCAAAAAAAUACAAACAAUCAAUUGUUUUUUCUUUUUUACUGCUCUGUUUCAAGUUCACUUUCUCUUUAGAUUUUCUUUUUCUUUCCAACAAAUCUGGUAUCGGCGCCAGGUUCCUUUUGAAAUUGAGUGAGAGCAGAAAGACUAGCCCGAAUGAGAUUUCAUAGAAUUUUUUAAAGAGCACAGGACGAGCGUGUAUGGAGUUUUGACUGAGUUGUUUAAUAUCAUUUUGAGGAAAGUAAGGAUGCCCGAAACGUGGAGAUGCAAUACGAUGAUUUCAUUGUACUAGAACAAAAUGACAUUCAAAAUUGCAAUUAUAGAGGUAUUAAGUUGUUGAGUCACGCUAUGAAAAUGUGCAAAAGGUAGUGGAGGGUCACUCAAUUACAUAAGUCAUUCACUUCAUUAGGAGAUUGGAGAAGUAUAAGAAGAGAAAAAACGGUGUACGCAUGGUGUUCAUCGACAUAAAGAGGACUAACGAUAAAGGCUUCCGGGAGGUUCUAUGAAGGUGUUUGGAGGCUAGAUGUAUUCUUGUGGCGUAUGUUAGGUCAAUUAAGUAUAUGUGUGCCAAAGUCAAGACUCGCGUAGAACUUGGGGAGAGGACUUAAAGCAUUUUUCUAGUAUUAAUGGGAUUGCACCAAUGAUCGACUCUUACACCUUCUCUAUUUACCUUGGUGAUGGGUGUAUUGAUGCGGCAAAUUCAAAGUGAGGUGUCAUGAUGUAUGUUAUUUGUAGAUGACAUAAUUCUGAUUGACGAGACACGUGGAGGAGUCAAUGCUAAGUUAAAGGUUUGGAGAGAGACACCCUUUGAGUCUAAAGGGUUUAGGUUGAAAAGGAUUAAGACGAAAUAUUUUGAGUGCAAGUUUAGUGAGGAAACACAAAAGACUAGCAUGGUAGUGAAGCUUGAUAAUCAAGUCAUUAAGAAGUGAGAUAGUCUCAAAUAUCUUAGGACUAUGAUCCAAGAAAAUGAAGAGAUUGACAAGGACGUCACUCACUGAAUUGGAGUAUAGUAAAUGAAAUAGAAGCUCACAUCCGGAAUCCUAUGUGAUAAGAAUGUUUAUCUCCUCAAUUUAAAGGCAAAUUUCAUAGAUGAGAAGGGGGAGGGAGUCUAAAUCAUGCCUUUGCACUGAUCUACCACUAUUGGUUGCAGAAAACUUUACUAGAACAGAGGAACAAGUUUAUAGCUCAAAGAUGCAAUUGCUGUAUUUCUUUUUGUCAAAACAUCCUUAGUCACUGUCCAAAUUGAGAAGUCAAGUGACAAUAGGCAAUAAGAAAAAACUUAAUGUAGCACCAUGAUCGUAUAGUCUGCGUAUAAAAACGGCAGACCAUGUAUUUUGGUGCUCAAAUCGUUUACAUUAGUCGAGUUAACUAACCAAUCUUCAAAGACUUAGAAGAGGGCAGACAGUGGUAAACACCACACAAAACUGAUGAGCAAGAUUGCGACUUAUAGAUGUAACUGAUGUAUUUCUUAUUAACAAAACAUCAAUUGCCACAUGAUGUAACAUGAAGAGUCGAGUAGCAUCAGAUAAUAAGAAAAACCUUGAUGUAGCACCAUGCUCGUAUAGUCUGACGAUAGUAUAAAAUGAAAGACCAUGUAUUUUGGUGCUCAAUAACAUCCCAUCAAUCAACCAACAAACUUGACUUCAAAGAAAUGUAAAUGGAGGUCAGCAGGCAUAUCAAACCCAAAUGAUUAUAAACAGAGAAGCAUCUAAAGUUUAUCUUGAUGGCUUAUACUCAUAAUUUAAGUUGUACUAUCUUUAGAGUAAUCAUGCACUUUAUACCUAACAACAACAUACGCACUGUAAUCACAUAAGCGGGGUCUAGGAGGGUAGAGUAUACGUUGACCCUUACCCCUACCUUGGGAGGUAGAGAGGUUGUUUUCCGAUAGACCUUCACCUCAAGGAAAAAGAAACUGUGGAAGUGAAAAAGCCAUAGCAAAAUACCAUAGAACACAUUUGAAAAGAGCGAAAAAAUCUGCAACAAACUAAUACAAUAAUCGAAGUACAUGAAACCUAUGCUGCUCAGACUCUCGAGUGCAUGUCGGAUAUUUCAAAACUAAUGCAUUUUCGGAGGAUUCGACACGGGUGCAGCAACACUUUUGGAGAGUCUACCGGAGGAAUACCACAAAGUAUGGACACACUUUAUGCAAUUAUGCCUACCUUGAAAUUAAAGUCUCUUGACAUUAAGUAACAGAGGACCUAGAAAGAAAGAGGGUUUGCUCGUAUAUGAAAUUUGUUGGGAUUAUUUGAGUUUUCUGAGUCUAGAGUACUUUCCUACAUAAAAACAUCAUCAUCAACAACAACAACAACAACAAAAAACCCAGUGUAUUCCCACCAAGGGGAGUCUGGGGAGGAUAGAGUGUACGCAGUUCAUACCGCUACCUCCAGAGAAGUAGAGAGGCUGUUUCCGAAAAACAUCAUCCUAAGAAUUUCUCCAAAAAAAUUUAACUUUGAUAUUUUCAUAAUGGAACGCAAAAUGAAGAUCACAAUAGAUUACGUGCCAUAGCCCAGCAAAAGGGGCUAACCAAGGGCAGCUACUGAAGAAAAGGGCAGUCAAACAUACACACCUAAGUACAGAAAUUAACAAACGACAACAUAAAAGGGGAGCCCAGUGCACGAAACCUCCCGCUAUGCACAACUUCAUGGAAGGCCCCACCAUAAGGGUGUAUUGUAUGCAGCCUUACCUUGCAUUUCUGCAAGAGGCUGUUUCCAAGGCUUAAACCUGUGACCUUGCAGUCAUACGGCAGCAACUUUUCCCGUUACUCCAAAGCUCCCCUUCUACUAAACAACAACAUAUCCAAUGAAAUUCCACAAAGUUCUUGAACAAUUUAAACGUUAUUUGCAAAUGCCACAAAAGCUCAAGAAUAUUUUUUGACAAACAUGAUUUACAUCUAUGAUCAAGAAUAUCAACGCAAUGCAAUCAGAGAACUUUGAAGGCUUAUGAUAUGCAUCUUCUACAUACAAAUUCAGCUAACAGUUCCUCAUCAUUUUGCUUUCUUUCGAAUAAUAGUACAUACAAAUUAUUAAUUUAGAAAUUUUAGUUGAAACACACUCAAAACAAGAGUCUGGGAAAACGACCAGGCAACGCAAUCAGAGAACUUUGAAGGCUAAUAUAUGAAUUUCAACAUCUAAUUCAGCUUAAAUAUUCUCAUCAUUUUGCUUGCCAAUUCAGCAAAAACACAAAAAUGUUCAGUUAAAAAAAAAAGGACAGUCAUGCACAAGUUCCGAGGCAAGGCCGAACCACAAGAGUGUAUUAUAUACAUACUUAAACUAUAUAUAAAAAGCUAUUUUCACAACUUAAACCCGCAACAUAAUGCAACUUUAUUAGUUACUAUAAAGUAACAUUUGAAUAGAAUUUUUGUUUUGGCAAAGUAGAGCUGAAUAAAUAACUCAAUAGUCAGCCACAAAAUUUUGCCAAAAAUAUAUCAAUUUGGCACCAGAAAAAACCUUUAUCUCGUAUUUCUCUGCAAUAAACAACUUUAUAUUACAAAGGGCUAUUUGGUGCACAAUCUAUAACAUCCAUUUCCAUUUGAAAAAAAAAAUACAAAAUCUAACUAAAAUUAAAUUAAAAAAGUUAUACAACAAAACAAAAAUUCACAAAAUAUUUUUUUUGCAUUUAACAAUAAUUUUUGAAUGUACCUGCAAAAGAACUUUUAAUGAUGUUGAAGCAGUAAAUCUAUGGCGGCGAAUUGUUGUUGUUAUUUAUAGGGAAAGAUUAGGGUUUUGGUUUGGUUUACUAAAGGGAAAUGGUCGAAAUUGCCCCCUCCCACUAUCGAAAAAUGUCCACUUUUUUCUCAACUCCAUAAAACAUGUAUGGCCAUACAAUUUUGAAAAAAAGUUAUUUUGGCAAAAUAUCCUG
This 6064-nucleotide long non-coding RNA is filed under the name Capsicum annuum. RNAcentral's name for it is "long non-coding RNA (CANN_LNC018145)". The record is from RNAcentral. Lineage: Eukaryota; Viridiplantae; Streptophyta; Magnoliopsida; Solanales; Solanaceae.